This 301-nucleotide ribosomal RNA is filed under the name uncultured bacterium. RNAcentral's name for it is "partial 16S ribosomal RNA". It matches the Rfam family "Bacterial small subunit ribosomal RNA", at positions 509 to 807 of the family's 1533-position model. The record is from RNAcentral.
CAGCAGCCGCGGUAAUACAGAGGGUGCGAGCGUUAAUCGGAUUUACUGGGCGUAAAGCGUGCGUAGGCGGCUUCUUAAGUCGGAUGUGAAAUCCCUGAGCUUAACUUAGGAAUUGCAUUCGAUUCUGGGAAGCUAGAGUAUGGGAGAGGAUGGUAGAAUUCCAGGUGUAGCGGUGAAAUGCGUAGAGAUCUGGAGGAAUACCGAUGGCGAAGGCAGCCAUCUGGCCUAAUACUGACGCUGAGGUACGAAAGCAUGGGGAGCAAACAGGAUUAGAUACCCCUGUAGUCCCUGUCUCUUAUAC